RNAcentral lists this ribosomal RNA (876 nucleotides) under uncultured crenarchaeote. RNAcentral's name for it is "bacterial SSU rRNA". It matches the Rfam family "Archaeal small subunit ribosomal RNA", at positions 21 to 903 of the family's 1478-position model. Lineage: Archaea; Thermoproteati; Thermoproteota. The record is from RNAcentral.
ACCUGACUGCUAUCGGAUUGAUACUAAGCCAUGCGAGUCAUUGUAGCAAUACAAGGCAUACGGCUCAGUAACGCGUAGUCAACCUAACCUAUGGACGGGAAUAACCUCGGGAAACUGAGAAUAAUGCCCGAUAGUACACUAUACCUGGAAUGGUUUGUGUUCCAAAUGAUUUAUCGCCAUAGGAUGGGACUGCGGCCUAUCAGUUUGUUGGUGAGGUAAUGGCCCACCAAGACUAUUACAGGUACGGGCUCUGAGAGGAGUAGCCCGGAGAUGGGUACUGAGACACGGACCCAGGCCCUAUGGGGCGCAGCAGGCGAGAAAACUUUGCAAUGUGCGAAAGCACGACAAGGUUAAUCCGAGUGAUUUCUGCUAAAGAGAUCUUUUGUUAGUUCUAGAAACACUAACGAAUAAGGGGUGGGCAAGUUCUGGUGUCAGCCGCCGCGGUAAAACCAGCACCUCAAGUGGUCAGGAUGAUUAUUGGGCCUAAAGCAUCCGUAGCCGGCUCUGUAAGUUUUCGGUUAAAUCUGUACGCUCAACGUACAGGCUGCCGGGAAUACUGCAGAACUAGGGAGUGGGAGAGGUAGACGGUACUCGGUAGGAAGUGGUAAAAUGCUUUGAUCUAUCGAUGACCACCUGUGGCGAAGGCGGUCUACCAGAACACGUCCGACGGUGAGGGAUGAAAGCUGGGGGAGCAAACCGGAUUAGAUACCCGGGUAGUCCCAGCAGUAAACUAUGCAAACUCAGUGUUGCAUUGGCUUGUGGCCAAUGCGGUGCUGCAGGGAAGCCGUUAAGUUUGCCGCCUGGGAAGUACGUACGCAAGUACGAAACUUAAAGGAAUUGGCGGGGGAGCACCACAAGGGGUGAAGCCUGCGGUUC